This 301-nucleotide ribosomal RNA is filed under the name uncultured bacterium. RNAcentral's name for it is "partial 16S ribosomal RNA". It matches the Rfam family "Bacterial small subunit ribosomal RNA", at positions 509 to 807 of the family's 1533-position model. The record is from RNAcentral.
CAGCCGCCGCGGUAACACGUAGGUGGCAAGCGUUGUCCGGAAUAACUGGGCGUAAAGGGCUCGCAGGCGGUUUCUUAAGUCUGAUGUGAAAGCCCCCGGCUCAACCGGGGAGGGUCAUUGGAAACUGGGAAACUUGAGUGCAGAAGAGGAGAGUGGAAUUCCACGUGUAGCGGUGAAAUGCGUAGAGAUGUGGAGGAACACCAACGGCGAAAGCACUCUGCUGGGCCGGCACUGACACUGAGAGACGAAAGCUAGGGGAGCAAAUGGGAUUAGAUACCCCGGUAGUCCCUGUCUCUUAUAC